AUGCGGCCGACACCAUGGCCGUCGUUUCUGGCAGAUCAUAUGGCUGAGGGGAAUGAGAAUCGACCAACUCCAUGGCCAUCAUUUUCAUGCGAUUGCCGAGCAGUGCAGGUCUUGAGCAUGUCAAUGCGUUGGACAUUUUUGAGCAUUGCAGAUCUAAGAGCAUCCUGGACGUAUCUAUUAAGUGUGCACCUGACACCAUGUUCCGGGAAGAAGGUUGUUUGCUGGAUCCAUUCGGUGGCAAGAGCUAUCUCUGUGAUCAGGCGAUUAAUUGAUGUCCGGCUGAAAUGGUGGUCAAAACUACCUAAUGGUGAGCCCCCUGGUGACUGUUAUUCUAGUGUUACUCCUUUUUUUUCACUGGUGACUCUCUCUGUUUAUGUUGUUUGUUCAUUGGAAUCUACUGCGCAUCAAUUUCUGGCUAUUCCUGAACAAGUCAGUGAGUUGGCUGGCACUUUUGGUGUUGACAAAUUUUUUAGCACUAGUAAUCUGCUAUGUGAAAUCCAAAUGCAUUGGAAACUUUCUGAGCAUUGA
Molecule: ribosomal RNA, 528 nt
Filed under: Triticum aestivum (bread wheat)
Lineage: Eukaryota; Viridiplantae; Streptophyta; Magnoliopsida; Poales; Poaceae
Description: partial small subunit ribosomal RNA
Source: RNAcentral